Molecule: ribosomal RNA, 571 nt
Filed under: Hyphomicrobium sp. JMT1971
Lineage: Bacteria; Pseudomonadati; Pseudomonadota; Alphaproteobacteria; Hyphomicrobiales; Hyphomicrobiaceae
Description: bacterial SSU rRNA
Rfam family: Bacterial small subunit ribosomal RNA
Source: RNAcentral
AACGCCCCGCAAGGGGAGUGGCAGACGGGUGAGUAACACGUGGGAACCUUCCCUAUAGUACGGAAUAGCCCAGGGAAACUUGGAGUAAUACCGUAUACGCCCGAAAGGGGAAAGAAUUUCGCUAUAGGAUGGGCCCGCGUAGGAUUAGCUAGUUGGUGAGGUAAUGGCUCACCAAGGCGACGAUCCUUAGCUGGUUUGAGAGAACGACCAGCCACACUGGGACUGAGACACGGCCCAGACUCCUACGGGAGGCAGCAGUGGGGAAUAUUGGACAAUGGGCGCAAGCCUGAUCCAGCCAUGCCGCGUGAGUGAUGAAGGCCUUAGGGUUGUAAAGCUCUUUUGCCGGGGACGAUAAUGACGGUACCCGGAGAAUAAAGUCCGGCUAACUUCGUGCCAGCAGCCGCGGUAAUACGAAGGGACUAGCGUUGUUCGGAAUCACUGGGCGUAAAGCGCACGUAGGCGGAUUCGUAAGUCAGGGGUGAAAUCCCGGGGCUCAACCUCGGAACUGCCUUUGGAUACUGCGGGUCUUGAAGUCCGAUAGAGUGGGUGGAAUUCCUAGUGGUAGAAGGUG